GACGAACGCUGGCGGCGUGCCUAACACAUGCAAGUCGAGCGAAUGAAGUUCCUUCGGGAAUGGAUUUAGCGGCGGACGGGUGAGUAACACGUGGGCAACCUGCCUCAUAGAGGGGAAUAGCCUUCCGAAAGGGAGAUUAAUACCGCAUAAGAUUGUAGUACCGCAUGGUACAGCAAUUAAAGGAGCAAUCCGCUAUGAGAUGGGCCCGCGGCUCAUUAGCUAGUUGGUGAGGUAACGGCUCACCAAGGCGACGAUGCGUAGCCGACCUGAGAGGGUGAUCGGCCACAUUGGGACUGAGACACGGCCCAGACUCCUACGGGAGGCAGCAGUGGGGAACAUUGCACAAUGGGGGAAACCCUGAUGCAGCAACGCCGCGUGAGUGAUGACGGCCUUAGGGUUGUAAAGCUCUGUCUUCAGGGACGAUAAUGACGGUACCUGAGGAGGAAGCCACGGCUAACUACGUGCCAGCAGCCGCCGUAA
Molecule: ribosomal RNA, 480 nt
Filed under: uncultured bacterium
Lineage: Bacteria
Description: partial 16S ribosomal RNA
Rfam family: Bacterial small subunit ribosomal RNA
Source: RNAcentral